GGGGCUGGAGAGAUGGCUCAGAGGUGAGGA
This 30-nucleotide non-coding RNA is filed under the name Cricetulus griseus (Chinese hamster). The record is from RNAcentral. Lineage: Eukaryota; Metazoa; Chordata; Mammalia; Rodentia; Cricetidae.